UCUUUUUAGAUAUAGCUCACCUUAAAUUUAAAAAUCAUCCCAUAUGUGUCAAAUAGAGGGUCGUUCUGCUCAAUGUUGUUAUUUGGGUCUCAGGAAUGUUUUAAACGGUCAAGAAGGAUUCAAGAGUCAGGAUGAAAAUUGUUUAUUUCUAAUUUGUGAUACAUGUCCAAACCUUUAGCUGAUUGCAAAUCCACAUAUUUCCAUGAUAGGUGUGAAGCUUUAGUAUAAAAGUAUAUAUUCUUAAUUCAUACUGCAUGUAUGCUUUCCUUUCAUUAGCAUCAACCAGGUGAACUAGUUUAGAGCCUUGCUUAAGUCUGUUUGAAACCCUGGACUUAUUCUAGCCAGUGUAACAGAACAAUAACAGAAAGAGAAAUAAGGGCUGCGCCAAAUCCAAUAACGAGAUAAAACUAUGUCCAAAAAAUCACAGUAAAAUAGUCCAGAUGGAAGGAUCUCACUCUCAUAUAAAGUGCUUUGUCGGACGUUAUGUCCUCAAUGACUUUAUGGUCCAAGGGAUCCACUUUUAUGAAAGACAAAAAUAAGGACCACCAACAGUGCAAUAUGUACAGUUCAAUGCGGUCACUAUAUUACGAUAUUUUCCAUAUAGUGACCGCAUUGAACUGUACAUAUUGCACUGUUGGUGGUCCUUAUUUUUGUCUUUCAUAAAAGUGGAUCCCUUGGACCAU
This is a non-coding RNA of Pelobates cultripes (western spadefoot toad), 683 nucleotides long. NCBI's taxonomy places the organism in Eukaryota, Metazoa, Chordata, Amphibia, Anura, Pelobatidae. The record is from the annotation of a GenBank genome assembly.